CUUUCCGGAGCAUCACAGGGGACCCAGGGCCUGAAGCUGGGCUGGCAGGGCCCACUCCUGUCCUGAUGCUCCAUCUUGACUCCGCCUCCUGGCCGAGAGUGACAACGUACCAAUGAGAGGUCAUCGAUGACAUGCUGCUGUUCCAGCACCUGCAGCCUCAGGAACUCAAUCUCCUGCUCAUCCCUGGUCAGACUGAGACCCAAGAUUAGUGACAGAAUUGAGUCCUGCUGUUGUCAACUAAACGGUGAAGUUUGCAGCUGGGACUUCUCUGGAGCAGCCGAGCACUGUCCUCAAGGGCUGCGCUCCCUGUGUCCAGGAAGCAGGUACAGCCGAGGAAGUUCAAGCCAAAGGAGGAAGCAGAUACACUUGCUUAGAUGAAGAUGCCACACCCUCCUCCAGCUUCCCUCCUCCUGCCUGUAGGGACAAAGACAUGAUGGCUGGUGGGCCGUGAAUAAACAACCAUGAUACUAGCAUUGAA
Long non-coding RNA from Peromyscus eremicus (cactus mouse), 478 nucleotides. RefSeq lists it as uncharacterized. NCBI's taxonomy places the organism in Eukaryota, Metazoa, Chordata, Mammalia, Rodentia, Cricetidae. The transcript has 2 exons. The record is from RefSeq and is a predicted model, not a curated record.